ACUGUUAAAUUAGAUGGCGACUCUGCAUUAAACGUAUUUAUUUAAUUAAUCGGCGAUCAUAUUUCACCAGAGGACUAAGAUAAAACAACUCGAUUUAAAAUAUGAGCAGUUUUAGUGGAUCUGACGUUGAGGGAAAAAGUAUUUCGCUUUUUGUUUGGAGAUGAACGAGACAACACGAGGCGACAUAAAUAUGACCAACCAGAUCCCAAGUAGACAGGAACAAAUGAAGAUAUAGCGCAUAGAAAGACUUAUUCUUGGUGAUCAACUGCUAUUGACAUUUUUGAAUCGGGGCAAAUGUGGAGUGAAGAAAAACGUUUGCAACACAUCCAUUCCAGAGUGCUGUGACAGAUAAAACUGACACGCUUGAUGAGGACACAGUCAAAGCUUUAAAAG
This is a long non-coding RNA of Paramisgurnus dabryanus, 393 nucleotides long. RefSeq lists it as uncharacterized. Lineage: Eukaryota; Metazoa; Chordata; Actinopteri; Cypriniformes; Cobitidae. The record is from RefSeq and is a predicted model, not a curated record.